CUUUAGAUUAUAAUUUAAGGUCUGACCUGCCCGCUGAAUAAUUGAAUGGCCGCAGUAAUUUGACUGUGCAAAGGUAGCAUAAUCAUUAGUUUUUUAAUUAAAAGCUUGUAUGAAUGGUUGGACGAAAUAAAUUCUGUCUCUUUUUAAUAAUUAGAAUUUAAUUUUUAAGUUAAAAAGCUUAAAUGGUGAUAAAAGACGAGAAGACCCCAUAGAUUUUUAUAAUUUUAUUUAUAUUUUUGAUUAGGAAUAUUUUAUUGAUUAUAGAUUUAAUUAUUAUAUUGGGGUAAUAGGAAGAUUAAUUUAAUUCUUUUUAAUUUUUUUCAAUAAUGUUUGAUUAUUUGAUCCUUUUUUAAAGAUUAUAAGAUUAAGUUACCUUGGGGAUAACAGCGUAAUUUUUUUAGAGAGUUCUUAUCGAUAAAAAAGUUUGCGACCUCGAUGUUGGAUUAAAAAUUAUUCUGGGUGUAGAAGUUCGGAGUUUUGGUCUGUUCGACCAUUAAAUUUUUMCAUGAUCUGAGUUCAGACCGGUGUGAGCCAGGUCGGUUUCUAUCUUUAUUAAAUAAAUUUAUUUCAGUACGAAAGGACCAAAUAAUUAAUAUAUUUAUAUUUAAAUUUUGAAUAUAA
This 621-nucleotide ribosomal RNA is filed under the name Antiporus blakeii. RNAcentral describes it as "partial 16S ribosomal RNA". It matches the Rfam family "Bacterial large subunit ribosomal RNA", at positions 1832 to 2765 of the family's 2925-position model. Lineage: Eukaryota; Metazoa; Arthropoda; Insecta; Coleoptera; Dytiscidae. The record is from RNAcentral.